RNAcentral lists this ribosomal RNA (376 nucleotides) under uncultured bacterium. RNAcentral's name for it is "bacterial SSU rRNA". It matches the Rfam family "Bacterial small subunit ribosomal RNA", at positions 521 to 896 of the family's 1533-position model. The record is from RNAcentral.
UAAUACGGAGGGUGCGAACGUUAAUCGGAAUCACUGGGCGUAAAGCGCGCGUAGGCGGUUUGUUAAGUGGGAUGUGAAAUCCCCGGGCUUAACCUGGGAAUUGCAUUUCAAACUGGCCGACUAGAGUACGGUAGAGGGAGGUAGAAUUUCCUGUGUAGCGGUGAAAUGCGUAGAUAUAGGAAGGAAUACCAGUGGCGAAGGCGGCCUCCUGGAUCGAUACUGACGCUGAGGCGCGAAAGCGUGGGGAGCAAACAGGAUUAGAUACCCUGGUAGUCCACGCCGUAAACGAUGAGAACUAGCCGUUGGACCCCUUGAGGGUUUAGUGGCGUAGCUAACGCGAUAAGUUCUCCGCCUGGGGAGUACGGCCGCAAGGCUA